Molecule: long non-coding RNA, 1782 nt
Organism: Herpailurus yagouaroundi (jaguarundi)
Lineage: Eukaryota; Metazoa; Chordata; Mammalia; Carnivora; Felidae
Exons: 7
Source: RefSeq, a predicted model, not a curated record
GCUCCCACUCUCUGUCUGUCUCAAAAACAAAUAAAUAAACUUUUAAAAAAAGAAAAAAGAAAAUGCUUAUAAUAUGUUAAAUAUAAUCUCAGGAUAAGAGUUAAAUUUAUAGUCCUCUUCCAGUUACAUCUAACACACACGUACUCAUACACAGAAGCAAAUCUAGAAGAAAUAUGGCAAAAUAUUAGCAAGUACUAUCCCAUAAAAUUGCGGGAUUAUGGGUUUUUUCGCACUUUCUUCUUUAUACUUUGUAUCAUUUUCUAGGCUUUCUACAGUUGAUGUGCACAACCUGUAAAAUUAGGCCUAAACAGGCAUUAUGUCCUUGUUUUUAUAGAAAAUGUUUGUUUGUUUGUGUGUUUGUUUUUAACAAGAUAGCUUCUAUACGGAUAUCUAUGGGCAGGGAAAGAUGAAACCAUCUGAAAAAAGAGAAAAUUAAGACUGCCCAGUCUGAUAAAAGAUAUGGACAUCACUUUUCCUAACACAGAUUAAAAAUCUGUCACAGAGAAAAGAUAUAACAGUAAUGGGGGCACUUCCACUAUAAAGACAUCUGCUAGAAAUCUCAUUAUACUAAAAAGCUGAGCAUCAGACAGAGUCUUGACUUGUCUUGCUGACAAUUUCAUCUCUCAGAAGGUGGAGGCAACAAGUGUGCCCACCACUCAACUGACCAGGAAGAAAUAAGUGGUUGGCACCGGGCAGGGCGAAGAAAGGUAGCCACGGACUUUGCAGUCACGUGGAUUCAUACCUGCCUGAAAACACACCUAAAAUGCAUGAAUUGGUGUCUAUGGAGAUUUUGAAGUGAAAAAAAAUUAUUACACCUGAAUAUUACACACACUCCUAUACACCUCAUGUUAAUUAGGAUUUUAAGUCAAGAAUGCAUUCAGAAAAGAAUGACUUGAAUGAUAGGAAGUCUGAGGUUUAUGUCAAAAGUGACAGAGCUGAGGGAAGCCCGGGCUCCUGCAAUUCUGCCCACAUCUAGGAAGUCAAGAGACUGAAACCAGUGGUCGCACAAAUAAAGCUGAGACUCAGCCUAGGUGGUCCAGACCACGUCCUGGCAGCUCGAGGGUGCCUGGGGCGCCAAUGAGUUCAAGAGAAGCAGGCAGACAGUGAGCAAGUACAGACCGAAACCACCUCCAACACUGACCAAGAGAAUCUCAUUACCCUUGCAGGCAGCCCCACAGUGCCACCAUCCCGAAUGAUCACAAGAGAGAAUCAAAAUACUUCCAUUCUGGUCAUUCCAUUCCAUUCAUAUCCAAUCAACUGUACCCCAGGGAUGGCCACUUGCCUUGUGCAUCUACUUCUGGAUGCUUCUCCAUUUCACAAAGGACAAGUGGCCACAACUGUGCUUUUCUGUGUCAUGCAAGGGCACAGGAAUUUCCCUUAUGUCUGUCAACCAAAGUUGGCAGUUGGAGGAGAAUUCUCUCAAUGGAUUAAAUAAUCCUAGUUGCCACAGUUUCUCAUUAUUGCAUCCAUGAGUCCUGCUUUACCUUCAAACACAGUUUGGCCUUCAUUGGCCCUCUUAAUUACAUAUUUGAAGACAGGCAACACUGAAGUUGGGACUCACUUAGCUAAUGAGAUUGGACCAAAUCAUGGCCCAGGAUGCAGUAGUAAACCAGGGCUGUCGCUGUGGGCACUGGAAAGAGCGAUGAUCCCUCAGUAAGAAACUGGAACUAUACCUUUGAAAAUUUAUGUCAGGAGGCGCCUGGGUGGCUCAGUCGGUUGGGCGUCCAACUUCGGCUCAGGUCAUGAUCUCGUGGCCUGUGAGUUCGAGCCCCUCGUCAGGCU